AACGAACGCUGGCGGCAUGCCUAACACAUGCAAGUCGAACGAGACCUUCGGGUCUAGUGGCGCACGGGUGCGUAACGCGUGGGAACCUGCCCUUAGGUUCGGAAUAACUCCCCGAAAGGGGUGCUAAUACCGGAUAAUGUCUUAGGACCAAAGAUUUAUCGCCUUUGGAUGGGCCCGCGUUGGAUUAGCUAGUUGGUAGGGUAAAAGCCUACCAAGGCGACGAUCCAUAGCUGGUCUGAGAGGAUGAUCAGCCACACUGGGACUGAGACACGGCCCAGACUCCUACGGGAGGCAGCAGUGGGGAAUAUUGGACAAUGGGCGAAAGCCUGAUCCAGCAAUGCCGCGUGAGUGAUGAAGGCCUUAGGGUUGUAAAGCUCUUUUACCCGGGAUGAUAAUGACAGUACCGGGAGAAUAAGCUCCGGCUAACUCCGUG
RNAcentral lists this ribosomal RNA (433 nucleotides) under uncultured bacterium. RNAcentral describes it as "partial 16S ribosomal RNA". It matches the Rfam family "Bacterial small subunit ribosomal RNA", at positions 29 to 507 of the family's 1533-position model. The record is from RNAcentral.